AGGACGAACGCUGGCGGCGUGCUUAACACAUGCAAGUCGAGCGGUAAGGCCUUUCGGGGUACACGAGCGGCGAACGGGUGAGUAACACGUGGGUGAUCUGCCCUGCACUCUGGGAUAAGCCUGGGAAACUGGGUCUAAUACCGGAUAUGACCUGCUCUCGCAUGGGGGUGGGUGGAAAGAUUUAUCGGUGCAGGAUGGGCCCGCGGCCUAUCAGCUUGUUGGUGGGGUAAUGGCCUACCAAGGCGACGACGGGUAGCCGACCUGAGAGGGUGACCGGCCACGACUGGGACUGAGACACGGCCCAGACUCCUACGGGAGGCAGCAGUGGGGAAUAUUGCACAAUGGGCGAAAGCCUGAUGCAGCGACGCCGCGUGAGGAUGAAGGCCUUCGGGUGUAAACCUCUUUCAGCAGGACGAAGCGCAAGUGACGGUACCUGCAGAAGAAGCACCGGCUAACUACGUGCCAGCAGCCGC
RNAcentral lists this ribosomal RNA (473 nucleotides) under uncultured soil bacterium. Its description in RNAcentral is "bacterial SSU rRNA". It matches the Rfam family "Bacterial small subunit ribosomal RNA", at positions 26 to 518 of the family's 1533-position model. The record is from RNAcentral.